Neofelis nebulosa (Clouded leopard) is the source of this 988-nucleotide long non-coding RNA. RefSeq lists it as uncharacterized. The transcript is spliced from 3 exons. The record is from RefSeq and is a predicted model, not a curated record. NCBI's taxonomy places the organism in Eukaryota, Metazoa, Chordata, Mammalia, Carnivora, Felidae.
UUUCCGGGCCACACUCCUCCAACCACGGCCAUACCUUUCACACGAGAAACACAGAGAGGCUGGGAAUUCAGUGAACUUUGGGAUUCUGUAACCCGCACCGAUGAACUUGUGUUUAAUUUUCACCACGAGGAACCCUUGCAGAGCCGUCCUUACCGCCGUGACAGUACAGCAGCCACGCCGGCUCCUCAGGGCUUCCCGCAGGUGGCCCUUCAUCCCGGUUCACUGCAGGUGACAGCCUGAUGAAGGAAGAGGUCCCCGCAGACCACGGGUGCUACGCACGCGCCCAGUUCCCAUUGGCAGGGAGCCCGAGCCCUGCCCUGGGGCCCAAGGGCGCGACCACACCCAUCCCCACAUCCCCACUUGGCGGGCCCCUCUUCUGAGACCACUCCCAGGUCCGACUCUGUAGCAGUCGGGCAGGAGAAGGAGACGAGAAAUAGACACGGUUUCUCAGCAGACGAAAUCGAAUACGAGCAUUUGGUGGCUCAGGGCCCGGAGGGCUGAAGAAACAGAUCGUAUGGCAGAAAGCUGCCGUCCCUAAGGCGAGGGGAAGCAGGGAAGAGGUCGGGCUGAGCAGACACCUAGACGCCAGGAUGAGGGGCCUGGAAGAGGCAGAGCCUGGAUCUCUGAGGAGGGGCUGCCACAAUUUCUCAGGGAAGGCGGAAGCAACCUUAUCCACCACGAGGGGAUAUGGGGCAGGAGAUGAUUUCUGAGGACCAUCUUCCAGGCCAUUGAAGACUUGGGGAGGUGGAGUAGCUUUCUAUCACAAUAACGCAAACAACGCGUAGAUAUCCACGAGCGCCGCUCUCUGAUCUCCUGAGAAAUCAAAGGUAAUGCCAGUCUGGGUUUUGAAGCCCCCCCCCCCCCCCCCCCGCCCUGCCCCGGUUAAGCACAAGAGGGGAAGGCGGCUCUCUUUCUCACCCUGCCCCCUUUGCUGUGUGCUGGCCCCAGGAGGCUUCCGUGGGGGAUGGCCACCUGGGCUCACCUCUCA